Molecule: non-coding RNA, 44 nt
Filed under: Schistosoma mattheei
Lineage: Eukaryota; Metazoa; Platyhelminthes; Trematoda; Strigeidida; Schistosomatidae
Source: RNAcentral
AUCCAGCCGACGAGUCCCAGAUAGGCGAAACGCGCGUCCUGGAU